AGUUAGGAAAUGUAAGUUUGAGAAUACCAAAUUUACUUGACAAAAGCUCCAAAGGAAGCCACGGCUAACUCUGUGCCAGCAGCCGCGGUAAUACAGAGGUGGCGAGCGUUGUUCGGAAUUAUUGGGCGUAAAGAGCACGUAGGUGGAUUUGUAAGUCAGAUGUGAAAGCCUUCUGUUCAACGGAAGAAUUGCAUCUGAAACUACAAACCUUGAGUAUAGGAGGGGAGAGUGGAACUUCUGGU
RNAcentral lists this ribosomal RNA (242 nucleotides) under uncultured anaerobic ammonium-oxidizing bacterium. Its description in RNAcentral is "partial 16S ribosomal RNA". It matches the Rfam family "Bacterial small subunit ribosomal RNA", at positions 441 to 674 of the family's 1533-position model. The record is from RNAcentral.